RNAcentral lists this ribosomal RNA (400 nucleotides) under uncultured Nitrososphaerota archaeon. RNAcentral describes it as "bacterial SSU rRNA". It matches the Rfam family "Archaeal small subunit ribosomal RNA", at positions 471 to 871 of the family's 1478-position model. Lineage: Archaea; Thermoproteati; Nitrososphaerota. The record is from RNAcentral.
UAAAACCAGCACCUCGAGUGGUCAGGAGGUUUAUUGGGCCUAAAGCAUCCGUAGCCGGUUGUUUAAGUUUUCGGUUAAAUCUAUGCGCUUAACGUAUAGGCUGCCGAAAAUACUGGACAGCUAGGGAGUGGGAGAGGUACACGGUACUCAAUAGGAAGGGGUAAAAUCCUUUGAUCUGUUGAUGACCACCUGUGGCGAAGGCGGUGUACCAGAACACGUUCGACGGUGAGGGAUGAAAGCUGGGGGAGCAAACCGGAUUAGAUACCCGGGUAGUCCCAGCUGUAAACGAUGCAAACUCGGUGAUGCAUUGGCUUGUGGCCAAUGCAGUGCCGCAGGGAAGCCGUUAAGUUUGCCGCCUGGGAAGUACGUACGCAAGUAUGAAACUUAAAUGAAUUGACGG